UACAGAGGGUGCAAGCGUUUGUUCGGAAUUAUUGGGCGUAAAGCGCGUGUAGGCGGCUUUGCAAGUCGGGUGUGAAAGCCCUCAGCUCAACUGAGGAAGUGCGCCCGAAACUGCAGAGCUUGAGUGCCGGAGAGGGUGGCGGAAUUCCCCAAGUAGAGGUGAAAUUCGUAGAUAUGGGGAGGAACACCGGUGGGCGAAGGCAGG
This 204-nucleotide ribosomal RNA is filed under the name uncultured bacterium. RNAcentral's name for it is "partial 16S ribosomal RNA". It matches the Rfam family "Bacterial small subunit ribosomal RNA", at positions 524 to 725 of the family's 1533-position model. The record is from RNAcentral.